Molecule: long non-coding RNA, 1107 nt
Filed under: Nicotiana benthamiana
Lineage: Eukaryota; Viridiplantae; Streptophyta; Magnoliopsida; Solanales; Solanaceae
Description: long non-coding RNA (NBEN_LNC027874)
Source: RNAcentral
UUGAAGAGUAGCUUGGAGGCUUGCCUAUAUAAGGGGGCUUAAGUUAUGUUUUCAAAUGUACCAAACCAAAUGUAUUUCUAACACUUUUGUUAGGAGAAUGUACUAAGGUUUAUGUGAUUGUAAAAAAUUUUCACAUAGUGGUCGGUUGUUGUCUUUUGACAACAGUUGUGGUUUUUUCCCGAUUUUGGGUUUCCACGUUAAAUUCUUGUGUUAUUUUAUUUCUCAAUUUUUCUCUUUACAAAAGGGGCGAAGAUCUCGGGGUUUACGGGAAAUGGUCAAUUUCUUUUUUUUCCCAACAGCUGUGUUCCCUCCAGUAGUGUCGUCGCAUUCUGUUGCAUGGAUAGAAUGAGCACUAGGGCAUAUUUCCAUGCUUCCUGAUUCAUCGUGUGGCAGAUGUUGAGUGAGCAACUUGUCAUUUCUGUUGGGUAGGUGAUUACGACCUUUCUUGCAUACUGUUCUUUGAGGGUGUAUGUUUUGUUCUCAUUGAGCCAACAUAGUAUGGGUUGUGUUCCCUCAUUUAUGCCAUCGUUGCUGCUACUCUGAGUCUUGCUAUUUCCUCGAGUCCUUCUUGAUUGGGAGAGAAGGGAUCUGAUGAGGGGCUAUUGGGUGGAGUUGGUGGCAUCAUGGGAUGGAGCUAGCCAUGCAGUGGCGUUAGAGGCAUAAUUGUUUAUCGUGGUUGAAUCCAUGGUUGUUACGGUGGGUAGAAGGGGAGAUCCAUGGAGUUUAGUGAGGUGGAGAACGGGUGGUAUGGAGGAAUCUGGGGUGGAAUUGGAGCUGAGGAUGUUUGAUACUGGUACAUGAGUGAAGGUGGAUGCAUGACCCAUAGAUAUUGAUUGUAGAGGUUCAUGCCUAGUUGCAUGCCCUCCAUUACAAUUUAGGCUAUAUCCAUAGGGUUCUGAAUCAUGACAAUCACAUCCUGAUGGUCGAGUGACAUCAUGAAGGUGAGCGCGUAUUCCUGGAGGCCCAUCUCGAGCCAGGAAUGGGAUACAUUUGCACUAAAGAAAACUAGGAGAUAUAGAUUAGUGGUGGAAUGUGUGUUGUAUUGUUGUAGUUCUGCAUGGGUAUCAUGUGUAGUGUGAUCUGUUGUAGUAGUAGGUGGGAGUUGGA